UAUAACUCAGAUUGUGUUCAUCAGAAAGAAGAGUCAUAUACACCUAGUUGAGGGUGAGAAAAUCAUGGGCUAAUUUUCAUUUGAAAAUGAACUAAUCCUUUAAAGAAAUAAAAAUAAAAAGUAAAGCCAUCUGUAAUACCAUACUGUAGCCACUAGAUGUCUGUAUAGCCUUUUGACGGUGUAAUCUGGAGUUGGUGAAACAAGACACGAUUGCUUAGUUGUUUUUUUUUUGUUUUUGAGUACUUUAUUUAUAGGUAUUUAUGACAUAGUAUACAAAGAAAACCAACAAAAAUGAACAUAACAUUCUACAGUACUUCCCAUUUCCCAUCGCGCGGCUUAACUAUAAGAACACAGCUAACAGUACAAAGACAUCCGACAUUCAACACAACAGAUGUGUAGCAGCACUAUGCAUUCACAAGGUAUAAAGUACAUAUAUUAUAAAAGGUAUAGCAAUAAUAAAAAUAAUUAAGAAAGUAAAUAAAGAGCAACUCAAUAACUGAAAGGACUCGAUGACCUUAUACCUGCCUCAAACUGCCCAGUUUUCCAAAGUUGUGACUGACGUGAAAGGUUUUAAAACAAAAAGUGACAUAUCAUCAGAAAAAUAAAUAAAUAAAAAUAAAAUGAAAAACUAUAAAAUCACCUCACAAACAAAUAUAAAGGAAAAGAAGAAUAUAAAAUCUGUAGGUGCCCAUGUGGUCAGGUGUCCUCUGAAAAUUGCAAAUCAUCAAAAUAUACUAAGAAAGGUGACCAUGUUUCAAAAAAAAACUUGCUUUUAGAACCUCGAACAGUGAAUUUGAUUUUUUUCUCAGGUUUUUUCCAAUGAAGAAGAAUUAAGCGUCUUGCCAACAGUGUGGUAAAGGCGAUUGAUUACCUUAUAUAUUCUUUCCUUAAGCACAAUAUUUUCAGGACUAGUACCAAAGACAGCAAGCAGGGGGUCAGGGUCAAUAGAGACACCAUGCAUUCACUAAAUAUCUUUCCAAAACCCCUCCGGUUUUGGGCAUGACCAAAACAUAUGGGCUGUUGUGGCUGGUGAGAGUUGGCAUCUGUUACACGCAGGACUAAUAUUAGGAUAGAUCCUAGCUAAUGUUGAAUUUGUGAAAUGCAACCUGUGAAGUAUUUUAAAUUGGAUGAGGGCAUGUCUGGCACAGGAUGAUGAUGAAUGUGCUUUGUCUAAAAUACCACUCCACUCUAUAUCAGUAAAGUCUCUACCAGGGUCAAGUUACCAAGAGUUUUUAACAAAAUCUGUGCUAUGUGGACCACGAUUGCUUAGUUUUAAUAGUUUUUUUUUUAAAUUGAUAGUUAAAUAAAGAACUUUUAAUAUUGCUCUUCACCUGACUUUAUUUACACACGUGACCCUGAAGGAAUCCAAAAGUAAUCAGAUUACAUUACUUUCAUAUUGCAGUGCUUGGAUUACGUUACUGAAUACUUCGUUAUGAAGUCAUUUGUAACUGUAACGGGACACAUAUUACAGUAACCCUCCCAUCUCUGUCUCCACAGUACUGAGGACACUGUGACACUGCAGAUUCCUCUGAGAUGAACAAAUGUUGCUGAGCAUUACAGCCAAUCACAGUGUGUCUGUAGAGCACAUGACUGCAUCAUUUGGAUCAGUCUCUGGAGCAGAAGCAGUCAGCUGUAGAUGUAUUCGGCACUCGUUCACUGACGUUCUGCUCUCCUCAUAAACCAGAGCAGAUACUGAGAGACUCUUAGAGCAGUGCAGUCGGCUUCAUUCACCACAACGAUCAUAACUAAAGUCAUUGACCGCUGGGGAACGUUCUUUGCUCACUUCCUGCACACAAUUUAUUCCCAGCUUGAAUAACCGUUUUGUUUUUCCUGCUGCUGCUGAAAGUGAACCAAUGUGAGGUCUUGAUUUACUAAUAAACCAGCUUGUUUCGUCUGUUUCCCCAAACACUAAAAUGUUUUUAAUGUAUCUUUUAAUGAUUUUUGUCAUAAUCUUGCGGCUCUAAACUGUAAUGUGUGUGAGAUUCUGCUCUGACCCUCCUGAGGUCAGUUCUGUGUGAAUAAAGAGAAUAAAUCAGAGAA
Megalobrama amblycephala (Wuchang bream) is the source of this 2040-nucleotide long non-coding RNA. RefSeq lists it as uncharacterized. Lineage: Eukaryota; Metazoa; Chordata; Actinopteri; Cypriniformes; Xenocyprididae. The transcript is spliced from 2 exons. The record is from RefSeq and is a predicted model, not a curated record.